Molecule: unclassified non-coding RNA, 315 nt
Organism: Fukomys damarensis (Damara mole-rat)
Lineage: Eukaryota; Metazoa; Chordata; Mammalia; Rodentia; Bathyergidae
Gene: 7SK
Rfam family: 7SK RNA
About the family: 7SK was discovered as an abundant small nuclear RNA in the mid-70s but a possible function has only recently been suggested.
Source: Ensembl
GGAUGUUAGGAUGGUCUGUCUUCGACACCUGCCAACCCAUCGGUCGACCACCAGGGUUGAUUCGGCCGAACUGGCUGGCUAGGUGGGUGUCCCCUUCCUCUCUCACUGCUCCAUGUGUGUCCCUCCCAGAGCUAUGCACUUGGUCAGAGGAUCACCACCUCAAUAGAGGAGGACCAUUUCCUGGGUCAAGGGUAUAUGAGUAGCUGUGCUCCCGCUAGAACCUGCACACAAGCUCUCAAUCAUACCCCCCACACUCCCCAUCAUUGGGCUGUUUCUCAAGUCAAAUCUUCUUGUUCAUUGUAAACUUGUUUGUUA